UCAUCAACGUGUGUGGGGGUAGUCAGCCGAGGGAUCAUCCUCGAGUUUACACAUCUCAAACUCCUGGGAACCANCCGGGUCACUUUCGGCCGGGGGACAAUCUGUGGCCGGGCCCGGGACCCCCGAAGCCCUCUGUGAACCAGCAUGAAGAUGGUAACACGAAGUAAUAAAUCAUAACCUUCACCAACCGACAANGGAUUUCUGGCAUCCGGCAGAGCGAAGAGCACAGCGAUCAGUAAUAUGACNUCUGCACUGCAGAAUUAAGGGAAUCAUGGAACGCUCAUUUCGGCCGGCAGUAUUAUGGCGUGCAUUCCUGUUCGAGCUUCAUUUCAACCCGCAACCAUCAAGCACGUCGUUGGGGUUGGGUGCGGUUCCACCGGGUACGCCGUCCCUUAAAUCUAGUGGCGGUCUCGCUGCAGCUUGCUCGGAGNAGUAGCACACCUCGCACCGGAGAGCAGCGCGGCCACGCCGUUACACCCCCCACUUAGGAAAGGUGACCUC
This 501-nucleotide ribosomal RNA is filed under the name Ascomycota sp. FL-2010b. RNAcentral describes it as "eukaryotic LSU rRNA". Lineage: Eukaryota; Fungi; Ascomycota. The record is from RNAcentral.